UACGAAGGGGACUAGCGUUGUUCGGAUUUACUGGGCGUAAAGAGCGCGUAGGCGGAUCGCUAAGUCAGGGGUGAAAUCCCAGGGCUCAACCCUGGAACUGCCUUUGAUACUGACGGUCUGGAGAUUGGGAGAGGUUGGUGGAAUUCCGAGUGUAGAGGUGAAAUUCGUAGAUAUUCGGAGGAACACCAGAAGCGAAGGCGGCCAACUGGCCCGAUACUGACGCUGAGGCGCGAAAGCGUGGGGAGCAAACAGG
Molecule: ribosomal RNA, 253 nt
Filed under: uncultured bacterium
Lineage: Bacteria
Description: partial 16S ribosomal RNA
Rfam family: Bacterial small subunit ribosomal RNA
Source: RNAcentral